Molecule: ribosomal RNA, 253 nt
Filed under: uncultured bacterium
Lineage: Bacteria
Description: partial 16S ribosomal RNA
Rfam family: Bacterial small subunit ribosomal RNA
Source: RNAcentral
UACGGGGGGGGCUAGCGUUGCUCGGAAUCACUGGGCGUAAAGCGCACGUAGGCGGACUCUUAAGUCGGUGGUGAAAUCCUGGAGCUCAACUCCAGAACUGCCUUCGAUACUGAGAGUCUCGAGUCCGGGAGAGGUGAGUGGAACUGCGAGUGUAGAGGUGAAAUUCGUAGAUAUUCGCAAGAACACCAGUGGCGAAGGCGGCUCACUGGCCCGGUACUGACGCUGAGGUGCGAAAGCGUGGGGAGCAAACAGG